UUCCCGGGCCUUGUACACACCGCCCGUCACACCAUGGGAGUGGGUUGCAAAAGAAGUAGGUAGCUUAACCUUCGGGAGGGCGCUUACCACUUUGUGAUUCAUGACUGGGGUGAAGUCGUAACAAGGUAACCGUAGGGGAACCUGCGGUUGGAUCACCUCCUUA
RNAcentral lists this ribosomal RNA (163 nucleotides) under Acinetobacter baumannii. RNAcentral's name for it is "partial 16S ribosomal RNA". It matches the Rfam family "Bacterial small subunit ribosomal RNA", at positions 1371 to 1533 of the family's 1533-position model. The record is from RNAcentral. Lineage: Bacteria; Pseudomonadati; Pseudomonadota; Gammaproteobacteria; Moraxellales; Moraxellaceae. RNAcentral also lists the same sequence under 8 other names.